This 538-nucleotide ribosomal RNA is filed under the name uncultured bacterium. Its description in RNAcentral is "partial 16S ribosomal RNA". It matches the Rfam family "Bacterial small subunit ribosomal RNA", at positions 355 to 902 of the family's 1533-position model. The record is from RNAcentral.
UGGGGAAUAUUGCACAAUGGGCGAAAGCCUGAUGCAGCAACGCCGCGUGAGGGACGACGGCCUUCGGGUUGUAAACCUCUUUUAGCAAGGAAGAAGCGAAAGUGACGGUACUUGCAGAAAAAGCGCCGGCUAACUACGUGCCAGCAGCCGCGGUAAUACGUAGGGCGCAAGCGUUAUCCGGAAUUAUUGGGCGUAAAGAGCUCGUAGGCGGUUUGUCGCGUCUGCUGUGAAAACCCGAGGCUCAACCUCGGGCCUGCAGUGGGUACGGGCAGACUAGAGUGCGGUAGGGGAGAUUGGAACUCCUGGUGUAGCGGUGGAAUGCGCAGAUAUCAGGAAGAACACCGAUGGCGAAGGCAGAUCUCUGGGCCGUAACUGACGCUGAGGAGCGAAAGGGUGGGGAGCAAAACAGGCUUAGAUACCCUGGUAGUCCACCCCGUAAACGUUGGGAACUAGUUGUGGGGUCCAUUCCACGGAUUCCGUGACGCAGCUAACGCAUUAAGUUCCCCGCCUGGGGAGUACGGCCGCAAGGCUAAAACUU